GUUGAGAUAACUAUCUGAAUUAGUUGAUGGGUUUCUUUGAUAUUGAGUUUUGACUAAGUUGAGUUUGGGUACAAACUAUAAAAAUUGGAUCAUUUAGUGAUGUCUAAAGUAGAAGUUUUUAUCAUUCUUUGGCUCUGUGUUUUUUUUUUUUUUGCAUAUCUAUAUUUACACAUUUUUGGUUGUUUCAUGCUGUGAUAUCUCGUGGUAGAUUUCAGUACUGUCUGAUCUUUCUAUGACAUUUUUUGUGCUUAUCACCUUUGCUCUUUGUUAGCAUCAUGUUGUUUGUAAAUUUUUAAAUUCUAGUUUGUGUUGAUGGAUUCCUUUUCAUACUGUUAUGGCAAUAUCACUACUUGUUGCUUUUGAGAACCCGCUUUGUGUACAUUUUAUAGAUCAACAUGGUAUAAUCUUUAACUUGUAAUAUUAUUCACAGUUGUGUUUAUGAUUGAUGUGUUUGUUUAUGAUAGAUUUGGUUGUGUCCAUGACUCUUUCUGUUACAGUGGUUUAUGAUAGGUUUGGUUGUGUCUUAGAGUUGCUUGCGUUCGGAUGUCGAUUUUGGGAUUGGGCUUGGUUUCUUAGUUAUUGUGCAAUACUAUUUAACAUUAUUCCAAAAAAUUGUAAAUCGUUAUUUUUUUUUCUUUUUGUUUUCAGGGAAGAAUGAUUCUUCAAAUGAGCUGAAAGGACUGAAAACAAUCAUGUAUAUAGGCAGAGAAGAAGCAAUCGACAUUGUCUUCGAUUAUGGGCCUGACUGGUUCAAACGCAGCGGUUGCAGUUGCGGGUGUGGGAGUUUGCGGGGUGGUUACGGUUUCAAUUGUUACAUGGCGUUUUGUAUGACUGGCAUAACGUUUAAAAAUUGUUGCGUUUGCGGGAUGUUUGUGACUGGUUGAUUAUGAGACAUUGCAGCGGUUUAAUAAUAAAUUAUCAAUAUAAACAUAUUAUAAUA
Long non-coding RNA from Raphanus sativus (radish), 940 nucleotides. RefSeq lists it as uncharacterized. NCBI's taxonomy places the organism in Eukaryota, Viridiplantae, Streptophyta, Magnoliopsida, Brassicales, Brassicaceae. The record is from RefSeq and is a predicted model, not a curated record. The transcript has 2 exons.